RNAcentral lists this long non-coding RNA (426 nucleotides) under Olea europaea subsp. europaea. The record is from RNAcentral. Lineage: Eukaryota; Viridiplantae; Streptophyta; Magnoliopsida; Lamiales; Oleaceae.
GACAAACGCUAGUGUCUAAAGUAUGAUGUAAAAAUUCUAAGUGGGUCUAAGUACAUUCCAUCCAAUAACACCCACAAUCUUUAGGCCUUCACCAUUUCAAAAUUGCUCUAGUAUCAACUCGAAUACAGGAUCUAAAACCUUGAUACCAACUUAUAUUAGAUAUUGCAACCGCUCAUGAUAAUUAUGCAAUCCACUCAUAUCACCUAGAAUCAAGUUCAAGAAUCCACCUCACGUCAAUUCAAUCAAGAUCCACCACAUUUCAAGCAUGCUUUUGCAUCAGUUCACUUAUGAUUGCCAAACAUGUUAAAGCAAUAUCAUUUCAUUUUGAUGUGACUAGGGAGGCCUCAAUUCAAAAUGCCCUAUAGAUACACCAAUACUUUCCAAAAAGAGUAAAACAUUUUUUUGGUGCGAGUUGUGUAGAAUUUU